UGGGGAAUUUUGGACAAUGGGCGAAAGCCUGAUCCAGCAAUGCCGCGUGAGUGAAGAAGGCCCUUGGGUUGUAAAGCUCUUUCGGUCGGGAAGAAGGAAUGUGCGCUAAUAUCGCAUGUGACAGACGGUACCGGCAUAAGAAGCACCGGCUAACUACGUGCCAGCAGCCGCGGUAAUACGUAGGGUGCGAGCGUUAAUCGGAAUGACUGGGCGUAAAGGGUGUGUAGGCUGUUUUAUAAGUCUGAUGUGAAAUCCCCGGGCUCAACCUGGGAACUGCGUUGGAUACUGUAAGACUAGAGUACGUAAGAGGGGGGUGGAAUUCCACGUGUAGCAGUGAAAUGCGUAGAGAUGUGGAGGAACACCGAUGGCGAAGGCAACCCCCUGGGACGAUACUGACGCUGAGGCACGAAAGCGUGGGGAGCAAACAGGAUUAGAUACCCCUGUAGUCC
This 449-nucleotide ribosomal RNA is filed under the name uncultured bacterium. RNAcentral's name for it is "bacterial SSU rRNA". It matches the Rfam family "Bacterial small subunit ribosomal RNA", at positions 355 to 796 of the family's 1533-position model. The record is from RNAcentral.